This 938-nucleotide ribosomal RNA is filed under the name Crystallibacter crystallopoietes. RNAcentral describes it as "bacterial SSU rRNA". It matches the Rfam family "Bacterial small subunit ribosomal RNA", at positions 494 to 1429 of the family's 1533-position model. The record is from RNAcentral. Lineage: Bacteria; Bacillati; Actinomycetota; Actinomycetes; Micrococcales; Micrococcaceae.
CGGCUAACUACGUGCCAGCAGCCGCGGUAAUACGUAGGGCGCAAGCGUUGUCCGGAAUUAUUGGGCGUAAAGAGCUCGUAGGCGGUUUGUCGCGUCUGCUGUGAAAGCCCGGGGCUCAACCCCGGGUCUGCAGUGGGUACGGGCAGACUAGAGUGCAGUAGGGGAGACUGGAAUUCCUGGUGUAGCGGUGAAAUGCGCAGAUAUCAGGAGGAACACCGAUGGCGAAGGCAGGUCUCUGGGCUGUAACUGACGCUGAGGAGCGAAAGCAUGGGGAGCGAACAGGAUUAGAUACCCUGGUAGUCCAUGCCGUAAACGUUGGGCACUAGGUGUGGGGGACAUUCCACGUUUUCCGCGCCGUAGCUAACGCAUUAAGUGCCCCGCCUGGGGAGUACGGCCGCAAGGCUAAAACUCAAAGGAAUUGACGGGGGCCCGCACAAGCGGCGGAGCAUGCGGAUUAAUUCGAUGCAACGCGAAGAACCUUACCAAGGCUUGACAUGGACCGGACCGCCGCAGAAAUGCGGUUUCCCUUCGGGGCCGGUUUACAGGUGGUGCAUGGUUGUCGUCAGCUCGUGUCGUGAGAUGUUGGGUUAAGUCCCGCAACGAGCGCAACCCUCGUUCUAUGUUGCCAGCGCGUUAUGGCGGGGACUCAUAGGAGACUGCCGGGGUCAACUCGGAGGAAGGUGGGGACGACGUCAAAUCAUCAUGCCCCUUAUGUCUUGGGCUUCACGCAUGCUACAAUGGCCGGUACAAAGGGUUGCGAUACUGUGAGGUGGAGCUAAUCCCAAAAAGCCGGUCUCAGUUCGGAUUGAGGUCUGCAACUCGACCUCAUGAAGUCGGAGUCGCUAGUAAUCGCAGAUCAGCAACGCUGCGGUGAAUACGUUCCCGGGCCUUGUACACACCGCCCGUCAAGUCACGAAAGUUGGUAACACCCGAAGCCG